Molecule: non-coding RNA, 68 nt
Organism: Podarcis lilfordi (Lilford's wall lizard)
Lineage: Eukaryota; Metazoa; Chordata; Lepidosauria; Squamata; Lacertidae
Source: the annotation of a GenBank genome assembly
GUCGUAGAUCAGUGUUAGAGCAUCUGCUUUCCAUGCAGAAAGUCCAGAUUCAAUCUCUGACAUCUCCA